This 2107-nucleotide long non-coding RNA is filed under the name Homo sapiens (human). RNAcentral describes it as "non-protein coding lnc-R3HDM2-1:1". The record is from RNAcentral. Lineage: Eukaryota; Metazoa; Chordata; Mammalia; Primates; Hominidae.
UAUUUUGGGAUGGACCACAAUGUUGAUCAAACUGGGAAAGCUGUCAUCAUCAACAAAACUAGUAACACAAGAAUCCCUGAACAGAGGUUCUCAGAACAUAUAAAGGAUGAGAAGAAUACAGAAUUUCAACAGAGGUUCAUUCUCAAGAGAGAUGAUGCCAGUAUGGACCGAGAUGAUAACCAGGGGGAACCGUGAAGGACUGAGCCGCACCUCAAGCAGCCGCCAGAGCAGCACAGACAGCGAACUCAAAUCCCUGGAGCCACGCCCUUGGAGCAGCACAGACUCUGAUGGCUCUGUCCGGAGCAUGCGACCCCCUGUCACCAAAGCUAGCAGCUUCAGUGGAAUCUCUAUCCUUACCCGAGGUGACAGCAUCGGCAGCAGUAAAGGCGGCAGUGCGGGAAGGAUCUCCAGGCCAGGUAUGGCACUAGGUGCCCCAGAAGUGUGCAACCAGGUCACCUCAUCCCAGUCUGUCCGGGGGCUUCUCCCUUGUACUGCCCAGCAGCAACAGCAGCAGCAGCAGCAGCAACUUCCUGCUCUCCCACCCACGCCUCAGCAACAGCCACCCUUGAAUAAUCACAUGAUCUCACAGGCAGAUGACCUCAGCAACCCCUUUGGACAAAUGAGCCUUAGUCGCCAAGGUUCUACUGAAGCAGCUGACCCAUCUGCAGCUCUAUUCCAGACCCCACUUAUCUCCCAGCACCCUCAGCAGACUAGCUUCAUCAUGGCUUCCACGGGUCAGCCCCUCCCCACUUCCAACUAUUCCACCUCUAGCCAUGCACCACCUACUCAGCAAGUUCUGCCACCCCAGGGGUACAUGCAGCCCCCUCAACAGAUCCAGGUUUCUUACUAUCCCCCUGGACAAUAUCCUAACUCCAACCAGCAAUAUCGACCUCUCUCUCACCCGGUGGCCUAUAGCCCCCAACGUGGUCAGCAGCUGCCUCAGCCAUCCCAGCAGCCUGGUUUACAGCCCAUGAUGCCUAACCAGCAGCAGGCGGCUUACCAAGGCAUGAUUGGGGUCCAGCAGCCACAGAACCAGGGCCUGCUCAGCAGCCAGAGGAGCAGCAUGGGGGGCCAGAUGCAAGGCCUGGUGGUUCAGUACACUCCACUGCCUUCUUACCAAGUUCCAGUGGGUAGUGACUCGCAAAAUGUGGUCCAGCCGCCUUUCCAGCAACCCAUGCUGGUCCCUGUGAGCCAGUCUGUGCAAGGAGGCCUCCCAGCAGCGGGGGUACCAGUGUACUAUAGCAUGAUCCCACCUGCUCAGCAGAACGGUACGAGCCCUUCUGUAGGGUUUCUGCAACCCCCUGGCUCUGAGCAGUACCAGAUGCCUCAGUCUCCCUCUCCCUGCAGUCCACCACAGAUGCCACAGCAGUACUCAGGAGUGUCACCUUCUGGACCAGGUGUAGUGGUCAUGCAGCUGAAUGUCCCUAAUGGACCCCAGCCCCCUCAGAACCCAUCCAUGGUCCAGUGGAGUCAUUGUAAAUACUACAGCAUGGACCAGCGGGGGCAGAAGCCUGGAGACCUGUACAGUCCUGACAGCAGCCCCCAGGCCAACACACAAAUGAGCAGCAGCCCUGUCACAUCUCCUACCCAGUCUCCAGCACCCUCUCCUGUCACCAGCCUCAGCAGUGUCUGCACAGGACUCAGUCCCCUGCCUGUCCUCACACAGUUCCCCCGGCCUGGGGGUCCAGCACAGGGUGAUGGGCGCUACUCCCUUUUGGGCCAGCCAUUACAGUACAAUCUGUCCAUCUGCCCUCCCUUGCUCCAUGGCCAGUCAACUUACACGGUGCACCAGGGACAGAGUGGACUGAAGCAUGGAAACCGGGGCAAGAGACAAGCACUCAAAUCUGCCUCCACUGACCUGGGGACAGCAGAUGUUGCCCUGUCAUUUCAGCCCUGACACCAAGGCAGGAGGCUAGGAGGUCUACAAAUAGCGACUGGGUAGCUGGUGUGAACACAGGGGGUACUGGGGGGGCUUAGCCCCCAAGGAAGAGGACCAGUUUUUCCCCAGCACCACCAUCAAGGCCUCGAGGCUCCCAGCUCCCUCUACAGCCUGUGGACUGACUUAGGGAAUCCCGAACGAUGACAGAAAAGGAGGUGCUGGAGUCCC